RNAcentral lists this ribosomal RNA (406 nucleotides) under uncultured bacterium. Its description in RNAcentral is "partial 16S ribosomal RNA". It matches the Rfam family "Bacterial small subunit ribosomal RNA", at positions 30 to 526 of the family's 1533-position model. The record is from RNAcentral.
AUUGAACGCUGGCGGCAGGCCUAACACAUGCAAGUCGAACGAGCGGCGGACGGGUGAGUAAUGUCUGGGAACCUGCCUGAUGGAGGGGGAUAACUACUGGCAACGGUAGCUAAUACCGCAUACCAUCAGAUGUGCCCAGAUGGGAUUAGCUUGUGGGUGGGGUAACGGCUCACCUAGGCGACGAUCCCUAGCUGGUCUGAGAGGAUGACCGGCCACACUGGAACUGAGACACGGUCCAGACUCCUACGGGAGGCAGCAGUGGGGAAUAUUGCACAAUGGGCGCAAGCCUGAUGCAGCCAUGCCGCGUGUAUGAAGAAGGCCUUCGGGUUGUAAAGUACUUUCAGCGGGGAGGCGUUACCCGCAGAAGAAGCACCGGCUAACUCCGUGCCAGCAGCCGCGGUAAUUC